GCCAGGCCUUGGCCGGGGCAGCAGCGGGAGGAGGAGGAGAAGGAGGAGGAGGGAAGUGCGGCUCAGACAGCGCGGCGCCAGCAAACACCUGCAAACAGCUCCGGGCACACAAUGGCAAAUACAGGUGGGAACCGCCGCCUCCGUCAGCGCAGCGAUUGCAUCAGACUCCGUCGCUUGCCAAGAGGCGAACGAGCCGGAUCACGGGCCACCGGCACCGCGGCGGGGUCGCGCUCGACCUUCACCACUCACCCCCCCCGGGUUUUCCAGGAAAGCAUCGGCAUCCCACAACAGCCAAGAUAAAUCUGUUCCAUGGGGUAAAUCUUCUCCCCGAGAGGCGUUUCAAAGAAAGUACUGGACACUGACAGCCCAGUCCAGGGAACUAGUGGGGGUCUGAACACGGCUUGUGCCAGAGUCUGGGAAUGCCGGGGUAGCUGUUCCGGGCAAAGCGCCGGGAUCCAUCCACCACGGGGGAGGAGGUAGCGGCCCUGGGAGGCUUUUUGGGAGCUAGAGCCGAACCCCCACAGCCCCUGGCCUCGGAAAUCCCCUGCCCUGAUGCCUGAGAGGGGAUAGGGGCCACCUCCACUCCCCAGGGGCUGCAGUCCCCCUCCACCUCCCCAGUGUCAUUUCCAUCCAAAAAGCCCCAGCAGGACUGGUUUCUGCCACCCUAUCCUAGCCCCUCUUCUCCAAGUAACUCCUGCCCCAAAGUAGGCUCACUAACGCUCCCACCAGUCUAGGAUUUCCACCACCAUCAUCUCUGAUGAGGGACCGAUUAGGACCUGGGAUGGAGUGCUCACACUGCAAGAAGCUGCACCUUCCAGGUACCAAGACUCAUCCCUGUCCCCUGGCUCAUGCCCAGGAUGCUUUUCCCACCCAUCCCACUUAAAUCUCUUUGGCACAUCAGCACUGGCACAGCUGGAGGACCAUGACACCCAGGUGAAUGUGGGGACACUCGCCCCUAACCCACCCCUUGCCUUUUCCUCCAGAGCCAAAAACCAGUGGAGAUGGCAAAAGCUAAUUUUUUCACUGUGAGCAUAACAGCAGUUCUGUUCCCAGAUGCAGUGGUUUUUGGAUGGACACCUUCACCUGCCUCUCACCAUGCCCGGACAGCCCAUGUCACCGCAUCCUACCCCAUCCAGAGGUGCAGGAGGAUACAGGCCCUGGGGAGCCUGGGGACAUCAAGCUGGGAGGAGGGAGGAAAGUUCCCAGGGGCUGGUGAUCCAGUUGGACCAGGUGGUGCUUUUUGGAAGCUCCACGUGCUGUUUUCUCUGUGGAAAUGCCCAUGGACAAGGAGCGUUUGGCAGGUGCCUGCUGCACCCCAAGCUCCUGUUCUUCCAUUGGGUAGAGUCUGAAGCCAGUGUGUUAGGGCAAAGCUUUGUAUCACUCUGUGCUCCGAGACCCUUGUGUCUUCUCCCUUCUCCUCUUCCAAUGAUGUACCCCUGGACGCUGGAGCACCCUGGGGACACCCCAAUGCCAGGGGGCAGGAUCCACAUCAUGCCUGGCUAAGCCCACAGCAGCAAAACCAGAGCCCAGCACAGGGAAUAAAGAUGAUGGUGCUACAGGUGGGGGUGAAGUCAAUUUAACUUCAUCCUGGGCAGGCCAACACCUUCCCCAGGGAGCAUGAUCCAGCUCCACAACUGAGCCAGCCCCGGGUCACAUCUGUUCUGCUCCCGGGCCAAAGGGAAACCACAGCAUUACCCAAGGAGAGGGAAAAGCAUUUUUGCUCCCAACACCUCUUCCCUGUAGUGUUGACCCCGAGGAGAUCGGGCCAGGCAGGGGCUGCUCUCUCAAUACUACCUGGGGCAGCAAAAGCAGUCCAAAAACUCCUCUACCCAUAUGGGGUAUAUCCUGGGGGAGCAACAUCACCCCUUCCAGCCCAGUAGAAGCUCAAAUCCAGUAUCAUAGCAGCUAUCAGCCCAUUUUCACAUGACUAAAAGUGGAAAAAAGCGUAUUUUUCCCUCCUUCCCAGGGCUCCAGCUACACUUCUAGAUGGUCCCCGGGGCUGCAGCACCGUCUUCACUCUUUCGGUAUCAGGUAAGCACAGCAGCACACAAAAUAGCUGGCAGCCACCUCGGCCAGGAACGGGCGGCCCAGGGUUAAUUCCUCCCAUACUUGAGCUGACAUUUCAAUGCUAUUACACAAUUAUGGAGAUUCCUACUGUAACCCUAGAAGUUCCCAUCAAAGUUUGGUAGGCUCCCACCCCCCCAGGGGGUUUUCCCACCCAGAGGUACACCCUAGCUCCUUGCAUCCCAGCGAUGAAGGAGAAAAACCAAUCAAAAUUAUCUGGCUUUUAUUAUGCAAAAAUGGUAACUUUUAUAAAAAGUUUAU
Long non-coding RNA from Zonotrichia leucophrys gambelii, 2325 nucleotides. RefSeq lists it as uncharacterized. The transcript has 3 exons. The record is from RefSeq and is a predicted model, not a curated record. Lineage: Eukaryota; Metazoa; Chordata; Aves; Passeriformes; Passerellidae.